CCGCACUUCCUCCCCCAGGUUGGAACCAAUUAGCACCACAUGAUCCGCGUUCCCAUCAUUCAAAGGGAUUGGUACUAGAUCUUCGAUUGGGCCGCCCCUCUCUUCAGUGAGGUCAUCGCGAGCAUCCAAUCCAUCGACAGGACAGGGGUCCGAUUGAUCGCUUCUUUGCAAGGCGAUGCUGUAGCAAUGUCUAGCUAGGGCUUGGUCUCCCCGGACCUCUCCAAUCCCCUGGCUGGUGGAGAACUUCAGUUUCAAAUGGUAGGUCGAUACGACAGCUCAAAGAGCAUUAAG
Molecule: long non-coding RNA, 291 nt
Filed under: Elaeis guineensis (African oil palm)
Lineage: Eukaryota; Viridiplantae; Streptophyta; Magnoliopsida; Arecales; Arecaceae
Description: long non-coding RNA (EGUI_LNC058697)
Source: RNAcentral